GAUAAACGCUGGCGGCGUGCCUAAUACAUGCAAGUCGAACGAAGAGAGCUAGCUUGCUAGAGCUCUUAGUGGCGAACGGGUGAGUAAUACAUAAGCAACCUACCUGCAGGGACCGGGAUAACGCUUGGAAACGAGUGCUAAAACCGGAUAGGUAAUAACGGGGCAUCCCGAUAUUAUUAAAGGAGAGAAACACAAGCAGAUGGGCUUAUGGUGCAUUAGUUAGUUGGUGAGGUAACGGCCCACCAAGACGAUGAUGCAUAGCCGGCCUGAGAGGGUGAACGGCCACAUUGGGACUGAGACACGGCCCAGACUCCUACGGGAGGCAGCAGUAGGGAAUUUCGGCAAUGGGCGAAAGCCUGACGGAGCAACGCCGCGUGAGUGAAGAAGGCCUUCGGGUCGUAAAGCUCUGUUGUC
This 414-nucleotide ribosomal RNA is filed under the name uncultured bacterium. RNAcentral describes it as "bacterial SSU rRNA". It matches the Rfam family "Bacterial small subunit ribosomal RNA", at positions 28 to 440 of the family's 1533-position model. The record is from RNAcentral.